RNAcentral lists this ribosomal RNA (253 nucleotides) under uncultured bacterium. RNAcentral's name for it is "partial 16S ribosomal RNA". It matches the Rfam family "Bacterial small subunit ribosomal RNA", at positions 524 to 776 of the family's 1533-position model. The record is from RNAcentral.
UACGGGGGGAGCGAACGUUGUUCGGAUUCACUGGGCGUAAAGGGGGCGUAGGCGGCUCAGUAAGUGGGGAGUGAAAUCCUUCGGCUCAACCGAAGGCCUGCUUUCCAAACUGCCGAGCUUGAGUCCGGGAGGGGAGACGGGAAUUCCUGGUGUAGCGGUGAAAUGCGCAGAUAUCAGGAGGAACACCGGUGGCGAAGGCGCGUCUCUGGACCGGUACUGACGCUCAGGCCCGAAAGCGUGGGGAGCAAACAGG